RNAcentral lists this ribosomal RNA (465 nucleotides) under Vreelandella stevensii. Its description in RNAcentral is "partial 16S ribosomal RNA". It matches the Rfam family "Bacterial small subunit ribosomal RNA", at positions 338 to 795 of the family's 1533-position model. Lineage: Bacteria; Pseudomonadati; Pseudomonadota; Gammaproteobacteria; Oceanospirillales; Halomonadaceae. The record is from RNAcentral.
CCUACGGGGGGCAGCAGUGGGGAAUAUUGGACAAUGGGGGCAACCCUGAUCCAGCCAUGCCGCGUGUGUGAAGAAGGCCCUCGGGUUGUAAAGCACUUUCAGUGAGGAAGAACGCCUGGUGGUUAAUACCCAUCAGGAAAGACAUCACUCACAGAAGAAGCACCGGCUAACUCCGUGCCAGCAGCCGCGGUAAUACGGAGGGUGCGAGCGUUAAUCGGAAUUACUGGGCGUAAAGCGCGCGCAGGUGGCUUGAUAAGCCGGUUGUGAAAGCCCCGGGCUCAACCUGGGAACGGCAUCCGGAACUGUCAAGCUAGAGUGCAGGAGAGGAAGGUAGAAUUCCCGGUGUAGCGGUGAAAUGCGUAGAGAUCGGGAGGAAUACCAGUGGCGAAGGCGGCCUUCUGGACUGACACUGACACUGAGGUGCGAAAGCGUGGGUAGCAAACAGGAUUAGAUACCCGUGUAGUC